Molecule: ribosomal RNA, 474 nt
Filed under: Triticum aestivum (bread wheat)
Lineage: Eukaryota; Viridiplantae; Streptophyta; Magnoliopsida; Poales; Poaceae
Description: partial small subunit ribosomal RNA
Source: RNAcentral
AUGCAUGAUCUUGUCUCCAACGCCCAGAGUGCAUUCAUCAAAAAGAGAAGCAUCCAUGACAAAUUUUUGUUCGUCAGGAACUUGGCAAGAAAGUUCCAUCGCAACCGCUCCCCGACGCUCUUAUUCAAACUAGACAUUAAAAAGGCGUUUGAUUCUGUACGUUGGGACUUCCUUAUGGAUCUGCUGAAACACCUCCGCUUUCCGGACAGAUUUCGUGACUGGGUUUCAGCUUUGCUCUCUACCCCCACCUCAAGGGUGUUGAUCAAUGGAGUUUUGGGUGAUCCACUGAAGCAUGGAUGUGGCCUUCGCCAGGGGAACCCGCUUUCCCCUCUUCUCUUCGUCCUGGCUAUCGAUCCGCUCCACCACCUCCUCUGCAAGGCCACGACCCAAGGACAACUACACCCUCUGUGUGGUAGAUCUUCACCCGUUCGGGCCUCGCUCUAUGCCGACGAUGUCGCCAUCUUUGUGAAGCCC